Molecule: transfer RNA, 77 nt
Filed under: Chloroflexota bacterium
Lineage: Bacteria; Bacillati; Chloroflexota
Also listed under: 1 other name
Description: Chloroflexi bacterium tRNA-Val
Rfam family: tRNA
About the family: Transfer RNA (tRNA) molecules are approximately 80 nucleotides in length. Their secondary structure includes four short double-helical elements and three loops (D, anti-codon, and T loops).
Source: RNAcentral
GGGCGGUUAGCUCAGAUGGCUAGAGCGUAUGCUUGACAUGCAUAAGGUCACAGGUUCAAGUCCUGUACCGCCCACCA